Molecule: ribosomal RNA, 332 nt
Filed under: uncultured bacterium
Lineage: Bacteria
Description: bacterial SSU rRNA
Rfam family: Bacterial small subunit ribosomal RNA
Source: RNAcentral
GAUGAACGCUAGCGGCAGGCCUAAUACAUGCAAGUCAAGGGGUAGCAAUACACCGGCGGACGGGUGCGUAACGCGUACACAACGUACCUCAGAGAGGGGGAUAGCAUUGGGAAACUGGUGGUAAAACCCCCAUGGUGUUGUUGAAUGGCAUCAUUUAACAACUAAAGGUUACACUCUGAGAUCGGUGUGCGUCUGAUUAGCUAGUUGGUGGGGUUAACGGCCCACCAAGGCCGACGAUCUUUUAAGCUGGUCUGAGAGGACGACCAGCCACACUGGAACUGAGACACGGUCCAGACUCCUACGGGAGGCAGCAGUGGGGAAUAUUGGACAAU